AAUAUGGGAAAUUGCAGUAGAUAACUAUAAAACUUAUUUAAUUAGGCAGAUGGACAUCGUACUGUUCAAUUUUUCAUAAUGGCGACGUUGUCCCUAUGUAGCCGGUCACAUAUAGGUAGAAAGAGAAUAGUCUAACACAAACACGUUUGUGCAUUAAUUCUGAAAAGACGUUUUGCAGUAAACAAAAGUUUUCAUCUGUUUAUCUUUCUAUCACUCGUUCUUUCAUCUUCUUAACAUUCUUUCAAUUAGUUUUCAAUCUCAGAUUUUACAUGAUUUCCUCUUCUUGUUUUUUGAAUCUUAUAUAUUUCAUCUUGGUGUUUCAUCUCUUCUUGUUCUCUGUUUAUUUAAGAAAAAACUCAGAUCUAAAUAAAUUUGAAUCUCAUGGCUAACCAGAGCUGGAGAUGGCAGAGGAAGAGGCAACGUGUCUCUGAGGCGAUGGUGGUAUCAGAGCUAAGCAAAUCUGAUCUGAGAAAAUAAUGAUGAAACGGGAAGAUGAAAUGGUGGUGUGACGUCAAGCGUGGUGCAGUGAUGAGAAUAUGAAGUUAAGAAGUUAGAGAAGAAGAUAUGUCAAAAUCUAUGGAACAUAUUUCCCUUACUGCUACUACCAUUUCAACACUGCUCAAAAUCUUAUGCGGUUGUUCUUACUUGUUUAAUUCCAAUUUCAGUUAUAGAACAAUUUUGUGUUAUCAUAAUUAGUUUUUUUCAUGAAACAAUACAAAUAAUUUUAUUUUAACGGAAACUGAUUUGGUUA
Molecule: long non-coding RNA, 751 nt
Organism: Brassica napus (rape)
Lineage: Eukaryota; Viridiplantae; Streptophyta; Magnoliopsida; Brassicales; Brassicaceae
Exons: 2
Source: RefSeq, a predicted model, not a curated record